GAUAAAAGCAUAUAUAUAAGUGCAGACCAUUUACCAUUGUACUUCUAUUCUGCACACUGUGAUUUGGUCCACUGCUCAGAGUUGAUGUGUGUUACUCACAAGUCUUCUAAUAGCUUCAGAGUGGUCCUUCUUGCUUAAAGGUAUUGUGAGGCAGGUGGGCCAACACCACAGAAUGGGGUGUGGCAUACUAAAGGCUCCAUGGAGACGACCCAUUUGUCCAUGCUGGUGUUGCAUCCUGCUAUCACGGGCCUGUUUGCUGGUAGGGCUUAUUUGCACACAUCCGGCAGAGCAGAUAGUAACCCCAUACUGGUCAAGAAGUCUCUCUGCCAGGAGUUGAACUUUUUAGCCUUCAAAUAUUCCCUGAUAUAAUCCCUGACUCCUAGCGGACUAGUGGAACUUCCUCAAUAAACUGCUGCAUCUUUCUUCUUAUAGCCUGCAUAUCGUAUUGUACUGUCAGCUGACCAUCCCAUGAUUCUUCUGGCAAUGUGUUCUCCCCAUUAAUAGUCCUGCAUGAACAAGCAUGAUGGUUAUAGUAACAAACACACACCCAGCUACCUAUAGAACUAUAAAACCAUUAAAAAUGGUUUUCGGCAACAGAAUCAAAAUCGUGCAUCAGGACAAACUGUAAAAAAAAAACGUUGAAUUUCAGAAUAUUUUGGACAAUGUAAGUAAAAUUGUUAAGUAGAAUACAUAAAAAAUGACUAUGUAAACAAGUCUAAAAAAAAAAAAAAAAGAAAAAAGAAAAAGGUGCAAGUCAGUCCACACAGGAUGCCGCUGAGCUUUUUUUUUGUGAUUGUUGCAGCCAAAAAAUGCUCGAUUUUGCUGCAGCUUUUUCCAAAAUGUGCGAUGCAACUUGCAAAGUUUUUUGUGGAAAACUACUUGAAUUGCGUGAGAUUGUCUUUCACAGUGACUGUUGUUGGUAAAUGAGACCUUUUAGCUGUAUUAAUGAAUUGAAGAGGGUCUUUGGCUGAAGGCGUGCUGUGAUGACAUCACACGACACGUCUAGGCCCAAAUCUGCGGAAAAUCCGCAGUAAGUUUUUUUUUUUUUAAUUGCAAGCUCCUCUGAAUACCGCAGAGUUUCCUUGAUUUUGCUUUCAUGUCUGUGAUCGCAUAAUCCUGGAGGGACCGGUAAGUAGUCUGUGACCUGGUCAUUCACAACAGAAGUAAGCUGUAAGCAAAUACUCAUACACACUUCAUCAGCUUAUACUGGCUCUUCAAUAAAUACAAGAAGUGCUUCAACUGAUAAUGCAAAGCAAUGAAAAUGUGUACCAUUCGUCAGCGUCUUUACGCCACGCCGGUCGUUCGUCGGCGUCUUUACAGUAAAGGUUGUCGUUCGUCGGCGUCUUUACAGUAAGGCUGUCGUUCGUCGGCGUCUUUACAGUAAAGGUUGUCGUUCGUCGGCGUCUUUACAGUAAAGGUUGUCGUUCGUCGGCGUCUUUACAGUAAGGCUGUCGUUCGUCGGCGUCUUUACAGUAAGGCUGUCGUUCAUCGCGUCUUUACAGUAAGGCUGUCGUUCGUCGGCGUCUUUACAGUAAGGCUGUCGUUCGUCGGCGUCUUUACAGUAAGGCUGUCGUUCGUCGGCGUCUUUACAGUAAGGCUGUCGUUCGUCGGCGUCUUUACAGUAAGGCUGUCGUUCGUCGGCGUCUUUACAGUAAGGCUGUCGUUCGUCGGCGUCUUUACAGUAAAGGUUGUCGUUCGUCGGCGUCUUUACAGUAAGGCUGUCGUUCGUCGGCGUCUUUACAGUAAAGGUUGUCGUUCGUCGGCGUCUUUACAGUAAGGCUGCCGUUCGUCGGCGUCUUUACAGUAAGGCUGUCGUUCGUCGGCGUCUUUACAGUAAAGGUUGUCGUUCGUCGGCGUCUUUACAGUAAAGGUUGUCGUUCGUCGGCGUCUUUACAGCAAGGCUGUCGUUCGUCGGCGUCUUUACAGUAAAGGUUGUCGUUCGUCGGCGUCUUUACAGUAAAGGCUGCCGUUCGUCGGCGUCUUUACAGUAAGGCUGUCGUUCGUCGGCGUCUUUACAGUAAGGCUGCCUUUCGUCGGCGUAUUUACAGUAAGGUUGUCGUUCGUCGGCGUCUUUACAGUAAAGGCUGUCGUUCGUCGGCGUCUUUACAGUAAAGGUUGUCGUUCGUCGGCGUCUUUACAGUAAAGGUUGUCGUUCGUCGGCGUCUUUACAGUAAAGGUUGUCGUUCGUCGGCGUCUUUACAGUAAAGGUUGUCGUUCAUCGGCGUCUUUACAGUAAAGGUUGUCGUUCGUCAGUGUCUUUACAGGAAGCUGGACAUUUGUCAGCGUUUUUAACAUUGCGCUAAUCAUUUGUUAGUGUUUUUUUCAGAACAGUUAAUGUGCUACUUCAGAAUGUGUGAAAUCAUUCACUUUCUGUAGAAAUCUCUGGUGAAAUGCUAGAACAUACAAAAUGAACAGUGGUAGUCCAUAUCUGGCUUCAUAUGUAUGCAAAUUACACUGGAACUAUCUUGGAGCUAACAUAACACUGGUUAGCUGUUAGCACAAAACAGGUUUGCUUGUGCAAACAGACGUAGGCUGCCUUCAAAUCCUAUCGGAAAUCUCUUCCUGAGUGUGCAGAGAGCUCUGUGUCUCCGAACGCCGUGCAUGCACGAUACUGCUCAUCCUAAGCACACAGUAGCCCAAGAGCUCAACUAUACUGAAUAAAACAUUGAACACAAUAUAUUUUGUCACCAUGUUACACAUUUAAUACAUCUGUUACUAACAGACUCGUAGUAUACUUUUCCAGAUUAACAAAGUAAUAAUGGAACAAUUUAUCAAUUAUACAAAUAGUAGUUAGUUGCGGCACUGAUGAAAAUAAAUAAUUUGCAGGAAUGAUCGUGAUCGGAAGCUUUUUUUGGUCCGACUACACAACCGUUCGUUCUGGUCUACUAAUCUGACUGGACUAGAGGUGUUCCAAGAGUGCUGAUGUUUAGAACAACAGUCCUGCUACAGUACGUUUCACUGUUUGUCUGUGUUCACUACAUAAAAUUCCAGCUCUAGCAAUAGUUCACUGCAUUGAAACCGUUACUACACUUUCUAUGCGCUGUCAAUCAGUCUGUGUGGUGGCAUGGCAACGCCCAACACACUACCCCAGCUUUGGCUUCUUUGGGAAUUAUUUUGACGGAGCACAGAAAAACUAAAUAUUUGGCCAUAUUGUUAAUAUUAAUUUGAAUUACUUGAUAUUAAUUUCUUGUUUAUAGAACUGUUGUAUAAAAGCAAUAUCACAAGACUCCAUUACUAAAGAAAAGGCAUGUUGAAGCUCGUUUAAAGUUUGCGACAACUCAUUUGGACAAGCCUAUGAAAUACUGGGAGAGUGUAGUCUGGCCAGACGAGGGCGAGAUUUACUUUUUGGCUGUUAUACUACACACCAUGUUUGGGGAAGAAAUGGCACUGCACAUCACUCUAAUCGAUCCAAAACAUACAGCAAAGGAAACUCAGUUGGUUUUGGAGAAAAAAAAUCAAGGCGUUAGAAUGUCCCAGUCAAUCACCUGACUCGAAUCCAGCUGAACAAGAUUUAAAGACGAUAUGUUUAGAAGAACGGGCCAAAAUCACACCUGAAUACUGCGGCACAUUAAUUUCUUCAUACAGGAAGCGUCUUGAAGCCGUCAAUACAAACAAAGGCUUCUCCACUACGUAUUAAAUACAUUUCAGUUAGUGUGUUCAGUACUUUGUUCCCUGUGUCAUUCCUCUUUAUUACACACUAAACUUCAUUUAUGGAUUUUAAUGUUUGGAUUUCUUUAUAUGUGUGGAUUUCUUGAGUUAAUACCAAAGUCUGGUGUAAAUUUCAUGUGAAUGGCCUCAUUGGAAAUAUAUUUACUGAACAAAAGUUGACGCGUUCAAUACUUAUUUCCCCUACGGUGUGUGUCCUGUCGCACAAUGUGGUGAAAACUCUACACGAUGUUAACAGUGUGAUUAAG
This is a long non-coding RNA of Ictalurus punctatus (channel catfish), 3914 nucleotides long. The record is from Ensembl. Lineage: Eukaryota; Metazoa; Chordata; Actinopteri; Siluriformes; Ictaluridae.